This is a long non-coding RNA of Medicago truncatula (barrel medic), 2342 nucleotides long. RefSeq lists it as uncharacterized. The record is from RefSeq and is a predicted model, not a curated record. Lineage: Eukaryota; Viridiplantae; Streptophyta; Magnoliopsida; Fabales; Fabaceae. The transcript has 3 exons.
AGCGAAAGAGAGAAAGACGACACAUUGAUGUAUUGUAGGAACAUGUAAUAAUAAAUCAUAUUUUAUGAAUGGUCUUUUAGAACUUCAACUGCUAAAAACUAUUUAGCUGAAGUUGACAAAACAUGAAAACUUUUCUUAUAAAGUGAUCAAAACAAUUUUCUAUUCAUUACAUGCAAAGAAUUCCCCCCUUAUAAAAAAAAAUGCAAAGGAGAAAAAAUAUGGCUCAAAUUCAAUAUAUGUUUUAUGUUUUUAUCAUCAUUCUUUUUGUCUUUUUCAUCCCAACUAAAAGUACCAUUAGAGCUUUGAGAAUGGCUCCAUGCAAAGCUCGCGCUGAUUGUUCGAAACUUAUGUGUGAACUUCCUAAAAUUUCAUGGUGUUUUCAUGGUUAUUGUGAGUGCGUGCAAGUGUAACAAAUAAGUUGAAAAACAAUCAUAUAUAACUUGUAGUCGUAUAAUUAUAUUUGAGAAUCAUAAUAUUGGUACCCUUAUAAUUUUGCUCACACUUUUAUUUAUUUUUCUGUGACAAAGUCAAAUGUGUAUUGUAAUUGUGAUAUUACACUAGCAUGUUAUUGUUGUUUAUUUAUAGAAAUAUUUUAAUAAAUAGGUUUAAUCAAAUUUUUCGUUCCUAUAAAUAUAGCAAAAUUUUGUUUUUUGCCCUUAAAAAAUAAAAUAAAAUGUUUUCAUCCUCAAUUUUUUUGUUCCUUAAUUGCCAAUUUAGGUUCAUAUAAAUGUCAAGAUUAUAACUCUUUUAUGGUCAAGAUGUAUUCAUGUUAUGUCCGUUUAUUAUGUUCAACGUUUAUAUAUUUAUAUUAUGUCAAAAUUAUAUCCAUUAGGGACCAAAAAAUGUCUAAUUUAGGAUUUCAAUUGUAUGUAAAUGUUUAAUUUGACUUCAAUUGUUUUUUACAAGUUAAAUUCCACUGUAUACAAACUUUAAUCAUAAAAUUUGAGCUUUAAAUUCUGGUGUUACCAAUCAUUUUGUGUUCUCAUGAGCUUAGCUCAGUUGGUAUGAACAAUGCAUAUUAUAUGCAAGGUUGGGGAACCCCACCACCACAAAAAAAAAUCAUUUUGUUAAUAAAAAGAAUAUAUAUAUAUAUAUAUAUAGUUUGCUAACUUAGACCAACAAAAAACAUGAAGGUCCAAGUUAGCAAAAGUGCACAUUUUCAUUUGGACAAAAAAAACCAAUAUCCACUAGUAUAAACCAAUUUAAAGUAAGGGAUAGUUUAGUCCCUCAAGUUAUUUGUUAUAAAAUAAAAGUGGUCUAAGUUAUCAAAUUGGUGCAAGUGAACAAAUAUGUUUUAAUGAAAAUUACUAAAGUAACCCUGAAGCUAUUUCUAAUAAAAUAAAAGUGGAUCUAAGUUAGUAAAUUGGUGCAAGUUAACAAUUAAGUUUUAAUUAAAAUUACUAAAGUAACCCUCAAGCUAUUAGUUUUAAAUAAUAAAGAUGAAGGAUAUUUUUGUCCAAAUAAAAAGGUGCACUUUUGCUAACUUGGACUUUUAUGUUUUUUGUCCAAAUAUAUAUAUAUAUAUAUAUAUAUAUGGGGUUUGCUAACUUAGACCAACAAAAAACAUGAAGGUCCAAGUUAGCAAAAGUGCACAUUUUCAUUUGGACAAAAAAAACCAAUAUCCACUAGUAUAAACCAAUUUAAAGUAAGGGAUAGUUUAGUCCCUCAAGUUAUUUGUUAUAAAAUAAAAGUGGUCUAAGUUAUCAAAUUGGUGCAAGUGAACAAAUAUGUUUUAAUGAAAAUUACUAAAGUAACCCUGAAGCUAUUUCUAAUAAAAUAAAAGUGGAUCUAAGUUAACAAAUUGGUGCAAGUUAACAAUUAUGUUUUAAUAAAAAUUACUAAAGUAAACCUAAACAUGCACAUUGAUGUAUUGUAGAAACAUGUAAUAGUAAAACAUAUUUUUUUUUGACAAACAGUAAAUCAUAUUUUAUAAAUGGUCUAUUGGAACUCCUAAAUGCUAAAAACUAUUUAGCUGAACUUGACAAAGCAUGAAAACUUUUCUUCUAAAGUGAUCAAAACAAUUUUAUACUUUUUCAUGCAAAGGAGAAAAAAUAUAUCCCAAAUUGCAUAUCUAUUUUAAAUUUUUAUCAUCUUUCUUUUUGUAUUUUUCGUCCCAACCAAAAGUAACAAUAGGCGUUUGGGAUUGGUUCCAUGCAGAUCACGCGCUGAUUGUUCGAAAGAUAUGUGUAAGCCUCCUAAAUUUGUGUGGUGUUAUGAUGCUUAUUGUGUGUGCGUGGAAGGGUAACGAAUAAGUUGAAAAAUAAUUUUAUAUUACUUGUAACCAUAUAAUUAUAUUUGAACAUCAUAAUAUUGCUACACUUAUAAUUUUUCUCACACUUUUA